GGGGAGAAUCGGAUGUUAACUUUUUCUAUAGAUGUCCGUGCAUAUAUUAUUUGCCUGAUUCCGAGUCCGUACGAGCAAGUUACGCCUAUUUUAAUAGAUGACA
Molecule: ribosomal RNA, 103 nt
Filed under: Oryza glaberrima (African rice)
Lineage: Eukaryota; Viridiplantae; Streptophyta; Magnoliopsida; Poales; Poaceae
Description: rRNA EPlOGLG00000000190
Source: RNAcentral